This 428-nucleotide ribosomal RNA is filed under the name Salmonella enterica subsp. enterica serovar Infantis. RNAcentral's name for it is "partial 16S ribosomal RNA". It matches the Rfam family "Bacterial small subunit ribosomal RNA", at positions 1 to 425 of the family's 1533-position model. RNAcentral also lists the same sequence under 1 other name. Lineage: Bacteria; Pseudomonadati; Pseudomonadota; Gammaproteobacteria; Enterobacterales; Enterobacteriaceae. The record is from RNAcentral.
AAAUUGAAGAGUUUGAUCAUGGCUCAGAUUGAACGCUGGCGGCAGGCCUAACACAUGCAAGUCGAACGGUAACAGGAAGCAGCUUGCUGCUUCGCUGACGAGUGGCGGACGGGUGAGUAAUGUCUGGGAAACUGCCUGAUGGAGGGGGAUAACUACUGGAAACGGUGGCUAAUACCGCAUAACGUCGCAAGACCAAAGAGGGGGACCUUCGGGCCUCUUGCCAUCAGAUGUGCCCAGAUGGGAUUAGCUUGUUGGUGAGGUAACGGCUCACCAAGGCGACGAUCCCUAGCUGGUCUGAGAGGAUGACCAGCCACACUGGAACUGAGACACGGUCCAGACUCCUACGGGAGGCAGCAGUGGGGAAUAUUGCACAAUGGGCGCAAGCCUGAUGCAGCCAUGCCGCGUGUAUGAAGAAGGCCUUCGGGUUG